AAGUCGUAACAAGGUAUCCGUAGGUGAACCUGCGGAUGGAUCAUUAAGAAGGCUUAUAGGAGUUAUCCUGUUACCUACCUUUUGUGGUGUAGAAAGCAUUGUUGUGUAGGGGGGAGUGCGAUCCGAUGGUGAGUGUGGUGCGGUGUGUUGGUAAUGGGGAGAAUGAUAUAUAUAUAUAUAUAUUUCUAUUCCCUCAUCGUCCCUACCGCUACCACCGCCGUCGCCGCCGCAUCUUCCCCCUCUCACCACUAUAUUAACCUUUUAAACCUUUUCUUUAUCAACUAAAGUAUUAUCUUGCGGAUCAUUCUAAACCCUUUUUGGUGUGGACGAUCGAUCAUCAAGUAAAACAAAAUAUAUAAUUAAAUACAACUGCUAGCAACGGAUCACUCGGCUCUC
RNAcentral lists this unclassified non-coding RNA (396 nucleotides) under fungal sp. RNAcentral describes it as "partial internal transcribed spacer region". The stretch from base 1 to 46 matches the Rfam family "Eukaryotic small subunit ribosomal RNA", at positions 1786 to 1831 of the family's 1831-position model. The record is from RNAcentral. Lineage: Eukaryota; Fungi.